Molecule: ribosomal RNA, 41 nt
Filed under: Heterocapsa rotundata
Lineage: Eukaryota; Dinophyceae; Peridiniales; Heterocapsaceae
Description: partial Eukaryotic large subunit ribosomal RNA
Source: RNAcentral
UUGAGACGCAGAGGUCCCAAAGUGUCGGAUUGUUCACCCGC